CCGAGUUAUACAACUCGUCAACCCUGUGAACAUACCUAUAACGUUGCCUCGGCGGGAACAGACGGCCCCGUAACACGGGCCGCCCCCGCCAGAGGACCCCCUAACUCUGUUUCUAUAAUGUUUCUUCUGAGUAAACAAGCAAAUAAAUUA
RNAcentral lists this unclassified non-coding RNA (150 nucleotides) under soil metagenome. RNAcentral's name for it is "partial internal transcribed spacer 1". The record is from RNAcentral.